RNAcentral lists this ribosomal RNA (176 nucleotides) under Escherichia coli. RNAcentral describes it as "partial 16S ribosomal RNA". It matches the Rfam family "Bacterial small subunit ribosomal RNA", at positions 1 to 170 of the family's 1533-position model. The record is from RNAcentral. RNAcentral also lists the same sequence under 1 other name. Lineage: Bacteria; Pseudomonadati; Pseudomonadota; Gammaproteobacteria; Enterobacterales; Enterobacteriaceae.
AAAUUGAAGAGUUUGAUCAUGGCUCAGAUUGAACGCUGGCGGCAGGCCUAACACAUGCAAGUCGAACGGUAACAGGAAACAGCUUGCUGUUUCGCUGACGAGUGGCGGACGGGUGAGUAAUGUCUGGGAAACUGCCUGAUGGAGGGGGAUAACUACUGGAAACGGUAGCUAAUACC